UACGUAGGGGGCGAGCGUUGUCCGGAAUCAUUGGGCGUAAAGAGCGUGUAGGCGGCUUGGCAAGUCUGACGUGAAAGCCCGCGGCUCAACCGCGGAUUGUCGUUGGAAACUGCCUCGCUAGAGUCCGGAAGAGGAGAGCGGAAUUCCUGGUGUAGCGAUGGAAUGCGCAGAUAUCAGGAAGAACACCCGUGGCGAAGGCGGCUCUCUGGGACGGUACUGACGCUGAGACGCGAAAGCGUGGGGAGCGAACAGG
RNAcentral lists this ribosomal RNA (253 nucleotides) under uncultured bacterium. RNAcentral's name for it is "partial 16S ribosomal RNA". It matches the Rfam family "Bacterial small subunit ribosomal RNA", at positions 524 to 776 of the family's 1533-position model. The record is from RNAcentral.